This 501-nucleotide ribosomal RNA is filed under the name uncultured Oscillibacter sp. Its description in RNAcentral is "bacterial SSU rRNA". It matches the Rfam family "Bacterial small subunit ribosomal RNA", at positions 8 to 507 of the family's 1533-position model. Lineage: Bacteria; Bacillati; Bacillota; Clostridia; Eubacteriales; Oscillospiraceae. The record is from RNAcentral.
AGAGUUUGAUCCUGGCUCAGGACGAACGCUGGCGGCGUGCUUAACACAUGCAAGUCGAACGGAGUGCUCCGGAAAGAGAUUUCGGUCAAUGGAUGGAGUUACUUAGUGGCGGACGGGUGAGUAACGCGUGAGGAACCUGCCUUUCAGAGGGGGACAACAGUUGGAAACGACUGCUAAUACCGCAUAACGCAUGGGUAUCGCAUGGUAUCUGUGCCAAAGAUUUAUCGCUGAGAGAUGGCCUCGCGUCUGAUUAGCUAGUUGGUGAGGUAACGGCCCACCAAGGCGACGAUCAGUAGCCGGACUGAGAGGUUGGCCGGCCACAUUGGGACUGAGAUACGGCCCAGACUCCUACGGGAGGCAGCAGUGGGGAAUAUUGGGCAAUGGGCGCAAGCCUGACCCAGCAACGCCGCGUGAAGGAAGAAGGCUUUCGGGUUGUAAACUUCUUUUAAGAGGGAAGAGCAGAAGACGGUACCCCUUGAAUAAGCCACGGCUAACUACGUG